AGCUCAAUGAUAUUUUUUAGCAGAAUCCAAACAGCUAGCCAGACGUUCAGCGUUAUUCCAAGUUUAUAUCGGAUCUCAAUCCAAAUUUCCGUAGAAAGGCCAUCUUAAUAUCAUUCAUUGGUUGGUUACGUGACAACGCAUAAAAUUGUCAUUUCCGUUCCAUAAUGACUAUUGUACGAUUUAAAUUUAAUCAAACUCAAAAACGUUUAAAAUUAAAUGGCAAAUUGGUAACUCUGACAAUAAUUUCAAAUGUGUUCCCCUAAAACUAUGCCACAUUCGCAUUAUAUCGUCAUAUACAUCAUAUGUUGACUUUAAUGAUUCCACCUUCCAUGAGCAUCCAACCGUUCACUCAACAAAUUGGGCCUCUUCACGGAGAAAGGCAAAGGAAAAGUGUAAUUGUUAGAAUAGAAAAUAAAAACAAAUCGAUUUUCGUUCGACCGUCCCCGUUACAUGUUUGGUAUUUCACACGUUUCGUUUUUCGUAACAGACGAUGAACUCAUAAACAAAGUCUGCUGAUGCACCAAGUUAACUGACCUAUGCUCACACUCAGCCAGUUCCGUCUGUAAAAAUCCGGGGUAAGCAUCGCCUGUUUGUUGCUUUUCAUUUCUACUCAACAUUCUAGGUAAAAAGUACCGAGCUCUACAAUAGCUAGCCAAACAAGUCCAAACAGUGCCACAUGCAACUGGUCGGUAUGUCGGCGUGUAAGGUGUGAGGUGUUGUUGAUAGGUGAUGGCUCGCUUAACAUUCGGCGAGUAUCAUCAUCGCCUUCGCCAUGUCUGUGUUGGAGGUGGUCAACAGAUUCUUUUUCGCGCACAUCUGUUUAUUUUUCUUGUGAUGGGCCUCAUUAGAAUUUAUUAUGAUCCAUGUGUGAACUGCAAUUCAAAUGUUUACAGUGCACUACUCAAUUCCCAUCAAUUUACAGGCAGCGAACAUUCGAUUAAUGUUUUAUGAAUUGUUGAUGUCAAUCUGGAAUCGAGAAAAUAAGAAAAAAAUUUAUCUUAUACGUCGAAUAUAUAAUUCUUAAACUGUUAUUUUUGAAAAAGAUACAUUUUAAAUAAAAUCACAUUAAAAGUGUUCAAAUAAAACAGCGAUAUUAUCCAUAUGCUCCUAGCAAAAAGUCGCACUACUAUAUAACAUGAUUGGAAUGUCUUUCCGCACAGAAAUACCAAUAGUUAAGAAAUAAAUUGUUAUGCCCAGGGCUGCGGACUCGGAGUCGAGCAAUUUUUGCUGGAAUCAGAAUCGAGGACCUUGCCUCUACUUCGACUCCUAACAAAAGAGAAAAAUGGUUCCACGAAAAAAAAAAAUUUUAAGAAAAGAAAUUCAUUAAAAUUUUGUAUUAAGAAAAAUUUCAUUUAAAUUUUGUUUUUAGAAAAAGUUUCAUUCAAAUUCUGUCUUUAAAAACUUGUCAUUGAAAUUAUGUCUCUAGAAAAAAUGCCAUUGACAUUUCA
This is a long non-coding RNA of Stomoxys calcitrans (stable fly), 1448 nucleotides long. RefSeq lists it as uncharacterized. The transcript has 3 exons. Lineage: Eukaryota; Metazoa; Arthropoda; Insecta; Diptera; Muscidae. The record is from RefSeq and is a predicted model, not a curated record.